Anolis sagrei ordinatus is the source of this 1422-nucleotide non-coding RNA. NCBI's taxonomy places the organism in Eukaryota, Metazoa, Chordata, Lepidosauria, Squamata, Anolidae. The record is from RefSeq and is a predicted model, not a curated record.
AUUCCAACUCUGGGGGUGGUGCUCAUCUCCAUUUCUAAGCUGAAGAGCCAGUGUUGUCCAUAGACGCCUCCUAGGUCAUGUGGCCGGCAUGACUGCAUGGAGUGCUGUUACCUUCCAGCGGAAGCAGUACCCAUUGAUCUACUCACAUUUGCAUGUUUUUGAACUGCUAGGUUGGCAGAAGCUGAGGCUAACAGUGGGAGCUCACCCUGUCCCACAGAUUUGAACCACCAACCAUCCGUCAGCAAGUUCUGCAGCUUAGCAGUUUAACUCGCUGUGCCACCAUGGCCUCUAUAUCCAACACCUAAGGGACUGUUUUAAAGACCAGAUGCCUGACUGUCAAGCUUAGGCAGGGAAAGAACAUUCAAAAAUAUUUUCCUCAAAUGACGGAAAGAUGUAUUUUUUCAAAUGUCAUGAAAUAUUAAUUACAAAAUUUUUGACUGCACAAUAUUCAAAUGUGGUUGUUCCAUGUGGAAAACACUUUCUGCACAAGAAAGGUAUUUUCUAUGAUGAAAAUAUUUCCCUCAGAAAUAUUUCCUACAUAGAAAAAUCUGUACUGAGAACUCGUUUUGCAGAAAAGUUGCAUGCAGGUUAUUUGCACAGAGAAUGGCAUUUUCCAUAUACUUCUACAUACAAAUAUUACUUUCUGUAUAGAAAAUGCUGGUUCCAACCAUGUACAAAUUUUGCAUAGAAUGAAUCAGUCUUCAAAAAUGGUGUGAUUUUUUCAGGGGGAAGAAUGCUAAAAUUACCAAUUGCUUCUUUUGAGAAGAAAGAGAAGAAUUAUAUCCCUAGUCAAGGUCAAGCCAUUAUAAAUCAUCUGCCAGCAGAGGAGAAUCUUUGUUGGAGAGAACUGAUUGACAACCUUGCAAGUGUAUGGCUUUCUUGAAUUCCUGACCCCCUUUGACCAUCUAUAAAGUCUUCCAACUAGGAUGGCAUCUGAACAAAAGACUCAGCACUGAUCACUCAACCUUCCGUACUCACAUAAGGAAUGGUGAAAACCGGGAACUAAUCUGCUCUCAGGGUUUUUUGGGGGUUUGGAAAACCUUUACUGAAAAACAAGUCCAUAUUUCAUUGAUGUCAGAUGCUGUCAACUGGCCAACACCAAGAAAACACUGCCUCAGACCUGAAUUAAAUGUAUGAAGUUGUCACUACUUAUGCCAGUAAAACCAUACUUGGAAUGGACAUUGGAAACAUAUAAACAGACCAUGAAGAAAAAGGUGUCAUUAUCCCACCAGUGGUUUACUGAUGUUCUAGCACAGCUGUAACCUAGUUAAGAUGCUGAAGUAGGAUUGCAUGAGUUUAGAUGCUACUUUGUGAUUAAUUUAGUAGAUUAUCUUGAAAAGUUUAGUCUUCUGAGCAUUGCCCUCUUCUGGAAAUAUCUGUAUUGAAAUAAUGGCCUAUUGAAAAGUUGUCAUAUAAACUGUU